CAGUAAGGAAUAUUGCCCGUCAUAUGGACGAAAGUCUGAACCAGCCAUGCCGCGUGAAGGAUGAAGGUCCUCUGGAUUGUAAACUUCUUUUAUCUGGGACGAAAAAAGGGAAUUCUUUCCCACUUGACGGUACCAGAGGAAUAAGCACCGGCUAACUCCGUGCCAGCAGCCGCGGUAAUACGGAGGGUGCAAGCGUUAUCCGGAUUCACUGGGUUUAAAGGGUGCGUAGGUGGGUCUGUAAGUCAGUGGUGAAAUCUCCGAGCUUAACUCGGAAACUGCCGUUGAUACUAUAGGUCUUGAAUCAUCUAGGAGGUAAGCGAGAAUAUGUCAUGUAGCGGUGAAAUGCUUGAGAUAUGGACAUAGAACACCAAUUGCGAAGGCAGCUUACUACGGAUGCAUUCGACACUGAGGCACGAAAGCGUGGGGAUCAAACAGGAUUAGAUACCCUGGUAGUCCACGCCCUAAACGAUGGAUACUCGACAUUUGCGAUAUACUGUAAGUGUCUGAGCGAAAGCAUUAAGUAUCCCACCUGGGAAGUACGACCGGCAAGGUUGAAACUC
RNAcentral lists this ribosomal RNA (560 nucleotides) under uncultured bacterium. Its description in RNAcentral is "bacterial SSU rRNA". It matches the Rfam family "Bacterial small subunit ribosomal RNA", at positions 352 to 902 of the family's 1533-position model. The record is from RNAcentral.